RNAcentral lists this ribosomal RNA (618 nucleotides) under uncultured bacterium. Its description in RNAcentral is "bacterial SSU rRNA". It matches the Rfam family "Bacterial small subunit ribosomal RNA", at positions 338 to 948 of the family's 1533-position model. The record is from RNAcentral.
CCUACGGGAGGCAGCAGUGGGGAAUUUUGGACAAUGGGCGCAAGCCUGAUCCAGCCAUUCCGCGUGAGUGAAGAAGGCCUUCGGGUUGUAAAGCUCUUUCGCAAGGGAAGAAAACUUACACAAUAACACUGUGUGAGGCUGACGGUACCUUGAUAAGAAGCACCGGCUAACUACGUGCCAGCAGCCGCGGUAAUACGUAGGGUGCGAGCGUUAAUCGGAAUUACUGGGCGUAAAGCGUGCGCAGGCGGUUUUGUAAGUCAGAUGUGAAAUCCCCGAGCUCAACUUGGGAACUGCGUUUGAAACUACAAGACUAGAAUAUGUCAGAGGGGGGUAGAAUUCCACGUGUAGCAGUGAAAUGCGUAGAGAUGUGGAGGAAUACCAAUGGCGAAGGCAGCCUCCUGGGAUAAUAUUGACGCUCAUGCACGAAAGCGUGGGGAGCAAACAGGAUUAGAUACCCUGGUAGUCCACGCCCUAAACGAUGUCUACUAGUUGUUGGUGGAGUAAAAUCCAUGAGUAACGCAGCUAACGCGUGAAGUAGACCGCCUGGGGAGUCGGUCGCAAGAUUAAACGUUAAAGGAAUUGACGGCNGAGAGAGCGAGACGACGACGAGGGAGGAGG